UCUGCCUCUCAAAUGCUGGAAUUAAAGGCAUCUACCACCGCACACAUAUUCACAUAUUUUGAAUAAUCCACAUAUUUUAAAUACCUAACCUAUACAUCGCUAACUCUAUGAAUUCUUCCUUAAUCUCACCUGUCAAGAAGUGAGGUAGUGAGGUCUUUCUGUCUUUUUUUUUUUUGGCAUUUUACUAUUACCUGCAUAUUGUUGUACAGUCAUCUAUCUUGUAAGUUACCAUGACACAGACCAUGAGAAACUUAAAUACAUAGCUUACACAUCACAAAUUCUGUAGACUCUUAAUCUCACCUCUCUAGAAGUGAGGCAUUCUAUCUUUUUUGUGGCAUUUCACUCUUACCUGCUGAUGGUUGUACAGUUAUCUAUCCUGUAAAUUGACAUGGCACAGCCAUGAAAAACUUACAUCUGGGUGUCUCUUCUUGUCCCUCUGAUAGUGCCUUCCCCACAGAAAAGUCUUUGGACACAUUUACAAAAUGAAUGCAUGCAAGAAGAAAGAUAUGGUGAAGCCCUCGGGGAAAACACAAGAGGGAGUCCUGAGAAAAACUUGUUUGGGAGAGUAGCUGCAACCAGAACUCCAGACACAAGUGCAUUGAAGCACAUGUAGGCAUCCAGGCAAGGCCAUUAUCCAGGACACCAGCAAGGCGCCUCAGCAGUUAGGGCUUACUAUGCUCUUCAGGCUGGUCUUAAACAUCGUGGCUCCCAAGAUCCUCCUGUUCAGCCUCCCAAUGCAGAGACUAUAGUGAUACACCAUUCUGUUUGGCCCCACAUGUUCUUUGUUCUCUAUAACUAAUGAUUGCCUUUUUAUAAGAUUCUGUAAAAAUGCAGAUCAUUGCAUUGCAUACUUGGCUUAAGUUUUAUCUCAGUAUUUCCUUUACUGGCUCCUUUUCAUGUCUCUCUAGUCUAAGUGGCUAUUUACUUAUUCUUGUAGGGUGGGAUUUUUUUUUUUUUCUUUUCUGUUUUGAGACUGGAUUCCACUGUGUUGUCCAUACUGGAAUCAAGCUGUCGCAUGGUUAUCCUGGACUCACAUGAUAAUCCUGCCCAUGCAACCCAGUAGCUGGGACUGUAGGCAUGCAUAGACCACUCACUGCAUUCUUUUGUUUAACCACAUGCUUUCUAAAGAUGACUCAGGUCUAGACCCCUAGUCAUUUAUUUAAACAUCUUGUUAGUAGUUAUCCGUCUAUGUGAGUAGGCUUUGAUACUAUAACUCUUGUCUGAUGUUUGCCUGCCUAUCUACCUGUCUAAACUUCCCAAACUAGGUAUUUCUCUGAAUUUACUUAUACAAUUUAUUUUUAACUUCUCCAUGUCUCCCUUUUCUUUUCCUUUCUCGUUUCUUUUCUUUUCUUUUUUUAGAGCAAGAUAAUGUUUGUACUUAGAGAGUCAAUUGUGAGGGUUUUUUAAGAGGCUAUGGCAGCCUCUUAGCAUAGACUCUGGCACAUAGUAGAGGCAUAAUAAAUAGUUACUAAAUAAUGGAUCAUAUUUCAGGUUACGCACACUCAAAAUAUUGGUGUGGCACGCUGCUUGCCCUUCUCACAGUCAGCCAUCGAGCCCUGCUGCUUUCACAAAUCAGGAUUUUAGGUUAACAAAUCUGGAGCGGUUUUGUCUUUCCUGCUUCAUUAGUUUUUCAGUAGAAUAUACUAUACUACAAUGAUUAUUGAAUGUUAUUUUACAUGCACUACCUCAUUUAAUCCAGAACAGAAUCACAAAGAUAUUCUGAUGAUUAAUCUCCAUUUUUAAAUAAAGAAAUAGAGCCUUGAAAAGCUGAUUUAUUGCUUUAGAAGGGAGCUCAGGCUUAGAUCUUGAAUUAGGUCUUUGGGCUGUUACCCCUGUUCCUAAUCACUACAAAAUCCCAUCCUGCUGCCUUUCCUUCCUUGUUUUUACACACCCACACCCACACCCACACACAUGGGGGCAGUACAUGAGAUCAUUCACAUGUGAAACACUUAGGAUACUCAUAUUUGAGGUUUUUAUUUAACUUGGCCAAUCAGGACCAGAAAAAUGGGCUGGAACUUGGGUCUCAUUCCAAAUCAGUGUUUAUCCUGUUAUACAAUGGAACUCUGCAAGUUUCUCUUGAUUGUUCUUGCUAAGAGAGAUUCUCCACUAAAUUCCUAUUGCAAAUAUUGCUAAUUUCUGUUUGAAAUUAAAUAUAUGCUGCAUUG
Molecule: long non-coding RNA, 2165 nt
Filed under: Mus musculus (house mouse)
Lineage: Eukaryota; Metazoa; Chordata; Mammalia; Rodentia; Muridae
Description: long non-coding RNA chr9:54947748-54949913
Source: RNAcentral